UGCGCCUUGCCAGCCCGCUCAGAAACUUAAAGGAAUUGACGGGGCCCGCACAAGCGGUGGAGCAUGUGGUUUAAUUCGAUGAUACGCGAGGAACCUUACCUGGGCUCAAAUGUAUGUUGACGUAUUCUGAAAGGGAUACUUCUUCGGACAAUAUACAAGGUGCUGCAUGGUUGUCGUCAGCUCGUGCCGUGAGGUGUCGGGUUAAGUCCCAUAACGAGCGCAACCCCUAUCAUUAGUUGCCAUCAGGUCAAGCUGGGGACUCUAAUGAAACUGCCUACGCAAGUAGUGAGGAAGGUGGGGAUGACGUCAAAUCAGCACGGCCCUUACGUCCAGGGCUACACACGUGUUACAAUGGCCAGUACAGAGGGCAGCCACCCCGCGAGGGGGCGCUAAUCCUAAAAGCUGGUCCCAGUUCGGAUCGGAGUCUGCAACCCGACUCCGUGAAGCUGGAUUCGCUAGUAAUCGCGCAUCAGCCACGGCGCGGUGAAUACGUUCCCGGGCCUU
This 504-nucleotide ribosomal RNA is filed under the name uncultured Sphingobacteriales bacterium. RNAcentral's name for it is "bacterial SSU rRNA". It matches the Rfam family "Bacterial small subunit ribosomal RNA", at positions 903 to 1382 of the family's 1533-position model. The record is from RNAcentral. Lineage: Bacteria; Pseudomonadati; Bacteroidota; Sphingobacteriia; Sphingobacteriales.